UCCCCCCGUCUCCGUUCCCCCUCCCCAACCUCCACCCCUGCCCCAGGAUGGAGGGCCCCUCCGAGAGCAUGGCGAGGGUGAGUAGCGGCUGGUCUCUCCCCUGCACCUAGCGGGGCACAGCAGAGGGAGCCUCCGGGGCCGGGGUGUGCCGGAGCCCACUCACCUGUCGCCAAAGGAUGGGAAAAUAUUUCAUAGAGGGUUGGUACACUUCAAUUCUCAUCAAAUGCAAAGCAGAAAUGAUCAGCACAUAGCACUCCAAUAUUCCCAUUAUGGGUACUACUAGUGGUAAUAAUCCCUUGCACCCUGGGAGCUCCGAAGAUCCCACAUUCCAAUUCUGGACCUGCAGAGGAUGGGGAAACUGAGCCACCAAGAGGCUGUGCAGCUCUACCAGCCCUGCUGCACUCAGUGGCAGAGCUGGGAAGUCCAGACAGGCUUCCUAGCUCUAGGUUUGACAGGGCAGAAGCCCCCAAGGGUCCCCAUCCCACACGCACUCCCACAGAGGAGUAACUCCUUUUUCAUAUAAUAGAUGCGGGUAGAUAAAUUGCUUCAAGGUCACUGUGAUAUAUGUCCUAAAGUUAAUUCAUGUUAAAAAGAUGUAAAAUGUAAUUCAACCCCUAUAAGUAUAAGUUUUGUUUCUAAUCCAGUAUGCUAAGAGUUAACUCAGACGAAAGUGGCCCGGAGAAGGGUACAGGAAUUUCUUUUGCCUGAAAAGACAUAGGAGGGACACGAAGAAACCAUGAUUGGAAUUACCAGAAAAAGAGAUAUGAGGAUGCCUCUGCCGGGAAUCGUUAAGGGGAGAACAAAGACAACAGAAAAAGGAGAUGAGAGCCCGGAGAACCAGAUGAUUACAUCAGAUCGAUAUCUCAUCCAUCUCCUCCUGAAAUUAACAUCUUCACGCCACACCUGGAUUCGACCAUUAAAGGCAUUGUCUUCUCAAGCAACCCUAUUCAGAAUCACCAGAGCUGGAACAUGAAUGUCUAAUGAGGCUGCCUCAGAAGGAGGAACCUCGAAGUCCUGAGUUUCUCUCAGCGAUCCAGUGUAUAAAAAGAGACUGCUCCAAGCCAGAAAUGUGAACAUGGGUGUGGGAGAUUAGGGACAGGCGGUCGGAAGAUAUCGCGUUGUACGGGCAGACAGAACCCCUCCCUCAACUCUUAGUUGGUUAGUGUCCUUGAUAAGGUAAGCAAUACCUAACUUGUAACGUAAGCAGACGGAUGUGAUGUAGCAAACAGAGGUUUUAUAACUCCAUGUAGCCAGUUAAUAAAUGCCAUUAGCCGUCCA
Molecule: long non-coding RNA, 1278 nt
Organism: Hirundo rustica (Barn swallow)
Lineage: Eukaryota; Metazoa; Chordata; Aves; Passeriformes; Hirundinidae
Exons: 2
Source: RefSeq, a predicted model, not a curated record